GAUCAUGGCUCAGAGUGAACGCUGGCGGUAGGCCUAACACAUGCAAGUCGAACGGCAGCACAGGGGGGCUUGCUCCUUGGGUGGCGAGUGGCGGACGGGUGAGGAAUACAUCGGAAUCUACUCUGUCGUGGGGGAUAACGUAGGGAAACUUACGCUAAUACCGCAUACGACCUACGGGUGAAAGCAGGGGAUCUUCGGACCUUGCGCGAUUGAAUGAGCCGAUGUCGGAUUAGCUAGUUGGCGGGG
Molecule: ribosomal RNA, 246 nt
Filed under: uncultured bacterium
Lineage: Bacteria
Description: partial 16S ribosomal RNA
Rfam family: Bacterial small subunit ribosomal RNA
Source: RNAcentral